Long non-coding RNA from Bombina bombina (fire-bellied toad), 247 nucleotides. RefSeq lists it as uncharacterized. The transcript has 3 exons. Lineage: Eukaryota; Metazoa; Chordata; Amphibia; Anura; Bombinatoridae. The record is from RefSeq and is a predicted model, not a curated record.
CUGAAAUUGCGCCAAAAAACUUCUGGCUUGUUUGGGAUAUCUGUCCAGCUCAAAAAUGGCUCCAGCAGUUAGAAACAGGUGAUGGCAGAAUGGCUUUAUGGAAACUUCAAGCAUAUGCCAGCUUAAUUUUCUUCCACAAGGCUGUGAGACCAGUUUGCAGGUGAUGCUAAAGUUUUCAGAUCUACAGCACCAGGUGACAUACAGCCAACACAGUGUCUAGCUUAUUGUCAAAAGAAAUGUCUGUGCC